GGGUGAGUAACGCGUGGAUAACCUGCCUUGUACAGGGGGAUAACACCUGGAAACAGGUGCUAAGACCGCAUAAGCGCACAGUCUCGCAUGGGACAGUGUGAAAAACUCCGGUGGUACAAGAUGGAUCCGCGUCUGAUUAGCCAGUUGGCGGGGUAACGGCCCACCAAAGCGACGAUCAGUAGCCGGCCUGAGAGGGUGAACGGCCACAUUGGGACUGAGACACGGCCCAAACUCCUACGGGAGGCAGCAGUGGGGAAUAUUGCACAAUGGGGGAAACCCUGAUGCAGCAACGCCGCGUGAGUGAAGAAGUAAUUCGUUAUAUAAAGCUCUAUCAGCAGGGAAGAAAAUGACGGUACCUGAGUAAGCAGCCCCGGCUAACUACGUGCCAGCAGCCGCGGUAAUACGUAGGGGGCAAGCGUUAUCCGGAUUUACUGGGUGUAAAGGGAGCGUAGACGGUAAAGCAAGUCUGAAGUGAAAUGCCAGUGCUCAACACUGGGACUGCUUUGGAAACUGUUUGGCUGGAGUGCAGGAGAGGUAAGUGGAAUUCCUAGUGUAGCGGUGAAAUGCGUAGAUAUUAGGAGGAACACCAGUGGCGAAGGCGGCUUACUGGACUGUAACUGACGUUGAGGCUCGAAAGCGUGGGGAGCAAACAGGAUUAGAUACCCUGGUAGUCCACGCGGUAAACGAU
RNAcentral lists this ribosomal RNA (688 nucleotides) under uncultured bacterium. Its description in RNAcentral is "bacterial SSU rRNA". It matches the Rfam family "Bacterial small subunit ribosomal RNA", at positions 104 to 810 of the family's 1533-position model. The record is from RNAcentral.